RNA transcript from Chroicocephalus ridibundus (black-headed gull), 5049 nucleotides. It is a transcript of the gene named zinc finger protein 704, with no coding region annotated. Lineage: Eukaryota; Metazoa; Chordata; Aves; Charadriiformes; Laridae. The record is from RefSeq and is a predicted model, not a curated record. The transcript is spliced from 11 exons.
CAUUGACACAGACUGUGGACGCCGGGGGGGUGCGGCAGGGACGGGCCGGCACCCCGCUCCCCACGGGGCGAAGCCGGCGGGGGCCGCUCCACAGGGAAACCCCCCUUCCCCCAACCUUCCCUCCUCCGCGGCUGCGGGCGGAGGCAGCGCGGCCCCGCGCAGCGCCCGUCGGAGCCGCGCUCGGCGGGAAUCCAGUCCGGGUUUUGGUGCCGGGGACCGGCGGCGGCGAGGAAAGGCGAGCGGGAGCGGACCCCGACAGCCGGGCCGGGCCAGGCAGGCCGGCGGAGGAGGAGGGCGGCGGCGGGAGCAGGUGGGCGAGCGGUGGGGCGGCCUCGCCCGCGGGCCCCCAUGGCCGCGGCGCGCCCGCCGCACACACCCACCGCCGCCCGCCGGUGAGCGCCGCCGCCGCCGCCCCUUGGGCUCGGCGCUGCCGCUGCCCGUAGCCGGGGCUGAGCGCGGCGGGAGGCGGGCCGGGCCGGGCCGUGCGGGCGGAGGCACCAUGCAGGCGCGGCGCUUGGCCAAGCGCUCCAGCAUGGGCAGCCGGCGGCUGAGCGCGGGGCCGGCGGCCGCGCAGGCGGAGGGGGGCCGGCCCCCCAAGCCCGAGAGCGCCUGGAGGCCGCCCCGGCGGGAGGGCUCCGCCGCGGCGUUGGAGGAGGAGGACGAAGACGAGGACGUGGUGGUGGAGGUGGAGGAAGAAGAGGAGGAGGAGGAGGGCGGCCUGGGGAGUCCCCCCCCGGCGCUGACCGGCCACGGCAAGGGCCCCCUCCGGGGGAGCCUGAAGGCAGCCAGCGUCAAGCGUGAAAUGACCUUCCCUGCAUUUCAACAGGAGGAUGUAAAAAGUGACAUCAGUCAAAAACUGCCAGACCAACAGUUUCUCCUGUUCACCACAAAGGAGGAAGAUUUAAAAACAGCAGAGACCAAAAAACCAAACAGAGCUCAUGAGUGUGAAAAGGAAAACACUCGCUCUGUUUGUCUUCUGGAACAGAAGCGCAAGGUUGUUUCUUCAAAUAUUGAUGUGCCUCCAGCAAGAAAAUCUUCAGAAGAACUGGACAUGGAUAAAGUAACAGCAGCCAUGGUACUCACCAGUUUAUCCACCAGCCCUUUGGUCCGCAGCCCUCCUGUCCGACCCAACGAAUCCCUAAAUGGAUCUUGGAAAGAAGGAGGAUUUGUGCCUUCUAGUACCAGCAGCAGUGGAUACUGGAGCUGGAACGCUCCCAGUGACCAGUCCAACCCAUCCACCCCAUCUCCACCUCUGUCAGCUGACAGCUUCAAAGCUUUUCGGACACCUUCCCAGCCAGACGAUGGUAUUGAUGAAGCUGAAACAAGCAACCUUCUCUUUGAUGAACCCAUUCCUAGGAAGAGAAAGAACUCCAUGAAGGUGAUGUUCAAAUGCCUGUGGAAAAACUGUGGGAAGGUGCUGAGCACAGCUGCAGGGAUCCAGAAACACAUACGGACCAUUCACCUUGGACGUGUAGGAGAGUCUGACUACAGCGACGGAGAGGAGGAUUUUUACUAUACAGAAAUCAGGCUCAACACGGACUCAGUAGCUGAUGGCUUAAGCAGUCUUUCCCCGGUCUCUCCAUCUUUAGCGUCUCCUCCUCCUUCCUUUCCCACCCAAGACGCAAUCCGUCCUGAAACUUCCUGUGCCAAAACCGAGACUAAAUUGAUGACACCUCUGAGCCGCUCAGCUCCUACCAACCUCUACCUCGUACACACGGACCAUGCUUACCAGGCCACUCCUCCGGUGAACAUUCCAGGGUCAGCAAAAUUCACUCCCAAUGGCAGUAGCUUUAGCAUCUCUUGGCAGUCGCCUCCAGUUACCUUCACCGGCAUUCCAGUCUCACCAACUCAUAAUCGUCCUGCAGGGAGUGGAGAGCAGAAACAGUCCCACACAGUUCUUUCAUCACCGCCUAGAGUAGCAUUUGGCUUGAGGAAGCCUAGAGGGGAGGGGAAAAAGUGUCGGAAGGUCUAUGGGAUGGAGAACAGAGAUAUGUGGUGCACUGCCUGCCGGUGGAAGAAGGCCUGCCAAAGGUUCAUCGACUAAGGAUUGAAAUUAUGCAGAGGAUUUGGGGAUGGGGGAGGACAACAGCAGACCCAGAUCGCUGCAGCUGCACUGUAUCACUUCCCACUUCCCCUCCAGUGAUGUGGUGUUGGGAGGGUUUUUUUGUUGGUUUUUUGGGGUGUUUGUUUGGUUUUUUUUUUAAAAAAAAAGCUUUGUAUUUCAAAGUGAAGCACUUCUAGCCAAGGAGAAGCACUAAUCAAAACCUGUGUGGAGCAAUAGAGAAAAAAAAAAAAAAAGCAAAACCAAGAACAUACAACAAAAUUCUGUCUUAUUAAGUAUGGAAACCAGAGCAGCUAUUAGUGUUUUCCUGUAAAAGAAAGGAAAAAGUUAAUUUUUUUGCUAACUCUGAGCUACUUGCUCCGUAGGAUCAUUUUUAACCAUUUCAGUCUCUGUGCUGUGAACGUCUGUAUUUGCUAAACUGAACAAUUUUUCCUUUCCUGAAACGAAGAUCUCUUUUUGAAAGCUUUCUAAUAAACACUUCUGAGUCGUAUAAGCUACAGUUUACUCAACAAAAGCUGUACUAAGACUGGAGACUGCAAAGUAAUUCUCCUGAUACAAAUGAUCAUGAUUAUAUUAUAUUUUUGGAAAGGGGGCCAGGGGAGGAGUUGGGAUUUUCUUUGGUUUGUUUAUAGGAGAAAAGCAAAGUCUGAGUUUGCAAGAAGGACAAGCAGCGCUCCUGGAAGGUUUUUAAACCAGGCACAGACCGGUGGAGUGGAACAAAGUAAUUUAAGUACCAAAUUGGAUUUUGAUCCUCUCGAGGAAGAAAAGCAGCAACGGAAAGUCACCAGCCGAUACAGUCGCAACAAGAAGUUGAGGGAAGAAAUCCAGCGAUGCUUGAUUGAAACCCGUAAGAAUAUAAUGGGGCUCCAGUAGCUUUUCUUACCGCUCCCCUGUUUCCGAGGGAGGAGGGAGCAGUUGGACCAGCACGUCUGUUGCUGCAGGAGGCCUAUAAAGAACUGGUAAAUGCAGCCACCAGGAUGAUAUGUAAAACCUAUUCAGGGACACGAUCCAGCCCAGCAGUUCUGCUCUUGCUCCCUUUUCUCUUAUUUGAGAGAGUGUUGUUAAGAUAAUGGUCUGCUCAGCUUUCCCCACCUCCCCCCCCCCCUUAAAGUUACUAAGAUUCAUUUGAUGCAAAAAAUUGGUGGAGAAAAAGAAAAUACCCCCUUUCCACAACAUCAUCUCAGAAAAAGAAGUAAAACAGCAAAGGAGCAACGUAUUUAUGCAGGCACUCCCCGAGUUACCGUGUCUCGUCCGUGGCCAGCGACAGCGAGAAGGCACGGCCGGCUGGACCUGCGUGAAGCGUUCACUUGUCGCUUUGUGCUUUGGACUCUGAAUACUUCACGUGGCACGAGCAUUUCGGCGCCCGCCGAGGUCCCUUUCGGCCUCCUGUCACACCCAGCACGAACAGAAAUGUCAGCAAAGCCUUUCCCGUGCUGGCAGAACCGAGCGGAAUCUGGAAUAACCUCUUCCACUUUUCAGUCUCUUGCUUCAGUGUUGCUUUAAGCUGCAUCGCUGUCCUCCUAACGUCCGAUUCAUCUCAGGCUUCUGCACCAGCCUCUCCAAAAGAGUCAGAUUUCUUUGUUUUCCCAAGGAAGAGCUGGCCUGAAUGCUUUGGUCAUUUAUCAUCAUCGAACGUGCCAUUCCCCCUAUUUUCAGUGUCUCUGUGGGAGGGUCUCUUCAACGUGAUCCACAGAACCCGAUGACUUGAAAAAAAGGUUGAGGGCAGGUCUUCAGUGGUUAUCGGCUGCCAUAUCUCCCACAGCGGUGACCAUGUGUAUCAGCAGAGGACCUGUCCCCAGGAGGGUUACGCAGAGGUAGCCGUAGGGAUGCUCGGUGCGGAAGGGGAGGCUCUCUGGAGCUGGCAGAUCUCCAUUACUUGGAUGUGGCCUGUUACAGCAACAGAAAGACACUACCACAUUUCUCUGCAAUCUGCAACUGUCCCGGGGGCCUGGUGUAGCUCCAGCUGCAGUCCCGCAAAUCAAAGCUCUGACUGCAACCGUCAGUCCUUUGCUGUCACUUACUAUCACAAAGUUAACUUUUUAAAAUGAGAAAGAGCUUCCAACUCUGGCACUAAUGGAAAUACUGAAUACUUUUAAUAUAUAUAUAUUUGGAAAGUAUUUGAAAAAAGUGUUUUGUCUUUUUUUAUACAACUUUUAGCCAAAUAGAAGUAUUCUGAUUAUUACUUCUGUGGAUACCUGUCCACUUGUAAAUAAACUCAUAUAUUCAGGUACAUGAACCUGAAGAAAAAAAUAAUAAAGACUGUUCACUGGCUAUGCGCUUUGCUAGCUGUUGAUUCCUUUGUACGUAAGAGGUAACUGUUCAAAUGUGGGGUGGGUUUUUUUUUUAUUUAAUUGUUGUUCCUCUAAAGAAAGAAGAAGAAAAAAACUUUUGACUUUGUUUUCUCUUUUCUGAGUUAAUACAAAGAUUUUCUAACUUUUUACUGCAGAAAUGGAUAAAUACCUGGUGCUAUGUGAAUUUGAGUCAAACUGGCCAUAGCAGACACACCAGUUAGAAUGCACUUUUCCUGUGGCACACAAUGUAUUUUCUCAGAAGGGACUUUCAAAGGACCAUCAUCUGUUUACAUUUCUUCUUGUUGCCCCAAAUAGUUUUGAAUAUUGAAAUAACUUCCAAAAAAUAGAGAAAGUCAUGAUCCAUUACUGAUGCGAAGAAUCCUUACAUUUAGGUAUCUAUGACAGGUUUGUACAAAUACCAUUUUAGAGAUAGUUGAAAUAUUGGGCUUUCAUACUUUGUAAUGCUUUGAUGUUACAAUAAAUAUGCUGUUGCUAUCUAGUCUAACCUCAUUGUAGACCUGUAACUUCCUGUUUAUGGUUAUGUCAUGAAUUGCACUGGCCAUUCAGCCAAAUACUGACUGUUCAGCUGAAAUAUUCCGACUGUUACGAUGUCCACAAAACAUUAAUUAAAUGCACUUGUAUCUGACUACCGUGGAGUAUGUCAAAUUAUUCAUGUAAUAAAACCCUUGUGUAUAA